RNAcentral lists this ribosomal RNA (495 nucleotides) under uncultured bacterium. Its description in RNAcentral is "partial 16S ribosomal RNA". It matches the Rfam family "Bacterial small subunit ribosomal RNA", at positions 28 to 523 of the family's 1533-position model. The record is from RNAcentral.
GAUGAGCGCUGGCGGCGUGCUUAACACAUGCAAGUCGAACGAAGCAUUUCUUAUGAAGUUUUCGGAUGGAUUAAGUUAUGACUUAGUGGCGGACGGGUGAGUAACGCGUGGGUAACCUGCCUCAUACAGGGGGAUAACAGUUGGAAACGACUGCUAAGACCGCAUAAGCCUACAGUACCGCAUGGUACAGGAGGAAAAAAUUUAUUGGUAUGAGAUGGACCCGCGUCUGAUUAGCUAGUUGGUAAGGUAACGGCCUACCAAGGCGACGAUCAGUAGCCGACUUGAGAGAGUGAUGCGACACAUUGGUACUGAGACACGGCCCAAACUCCUGCGGGAGGCAGCAGUGGGGAAUAUUGCACAAUGGGGGAAACCCUGAUGCAGCGACGCCGCGUGAGUGAAGAAGUAUUUCGGUAUGUAAAGCUCUAUCAGCAGGGAAGAUAAUGACGGUACCUGACUAAGAAGCCCCGGCUAACUACGUGCCAGCAGCCGCCGUAA